UACGGAGGGUGCAAGCGUUAUCCGGAAUCACUGGGUUUAAAGGGUGCGUAGGCUGCUGCAUAAGUCAGGGGUGAAAGCUUGUGGCUUAACGAUAGAAUUGCCUUUGAUACUGAUCGGCUUGAAAGUAGGAGAGGUUGGCGGAAUGUGACAUGUAGCGGUGAAAUGCGUAGAUAUGUCAUAGAACACCGAUUGCGAAGGCAGCUGGCUAUGCUGUAAUUGACGCUGAGGCACGGAAGAGUGGGUAGCAAACAGG
This 253-nucleotide ribosomal RNA is filed under the name uncultured bacterium. RNAcentral describes it as "partial 16S ribosomal RNA". It matches the Rfam family "Bacterial small subunit ribosomal RNA", at positions 524 to 776 of the family's 1533-position model. The record is from RNAcentral.